AAAUUGAAGAGUUUGAUCAUGGCUCAGAUUGAACGCUGGCGGCAGGCCUAACACAUGCAAGUCGAGCGGAAACGAGUUAUCUGAACCUUCGGGGGACGAUAACGGCGUCGAGCGGCGGACGGGUGAGUAAUGCCUAGGAAAUUGCCCUGAUGUGGGGGAUAACCAUUGGAAACGAUGGCUAAUACCGCAUGAUGCCUACGGGCCAAAGAGGGGGACCUUCGGGCCUCUCGCGUCAGGAUAUGCCUAGGUGGGAUUAGCUAGUUGGUGAGGUAAGGGCUCACCAAGGCGACGAUCCCUAGCUGGUCUGAGAGGAUGAUCAGCCACACUGGAACUGAGACACGGUCCAGACUCCUACGGGAGGCAGCAGUGGGGAAUAUUGCACAAUGGGCGCAAGCCUGAUGCAGCCAUGCCGCGUGUGUGAAGAAGGCCUUCGGGUUGUAAAGCACUUUCAGUCGUGAGGAAGGUAGUGUAGUUAAUAGCUGCAUUAUUUGACGUUAGCGACAGAAGAAGCACCGGCUAACUCCGUGCCAGCAGCCGCGGUAAUACGGAGGGUGCGAGCGUUAAUCGGAAUUACUGGGCGUAAAGCGCAUGCAGGUGGUUUGUUAAGUCAGAUGUGAAAGCCCGGGGCUCAACCUCGGAAUUGCAUUUGAAACUGGCAGACUAGAGUACUGUAGAGGGGGGUAGAAUUUCAGGUGUAGCGGUGAAAUGCGUAGAGAUCUGAAGGAAUACCGGUGGCGAAGGCGGCCCCCUGGACAGAUACUGACACUCAGAUGCGAAAGCGUGGGGAGCAAACAGGAUUAGAUACCCUGGUAGUCCACGCCGUAAACGAUGUCUACUUGGAGGUUGUGGCCUUGAGCCGUGGCUUUCGGAGCUAACGCGUUAAGUAGACCGCCUGGGGAGUACGGUCGCAAGAUUAAAACUCAAAUGAAUUGACGGGGGCCCGCACAAGCGGUGGAGCAUGUGGUUUAAUUCGAUGCAACGCGAAGAACCUUACCUACUCUUGACAUCCAGAGAACUUUCCAGAGAUGGAUUGGUGCCUUCGGGAACUCUGAGACAGGUGCUGCAUGGCUGUCGUCAGCUCGUGUUGUGAAAUGUUGGG
This 1099-nucleotide ribosomal RNA is filed under the name Vibrio parahaemolyticus. Its description in RNAcentral is "bacterial SSU rRNA". It matches the Rfam family "Bacterial small subunit ribosomal RNA", at positions 1 to 1079 of the family's 1533-position model. Lineage: Bacteria; Pseudomonadati; Pseudomonadota; Gammaproteobacteria; Vibrionales; Vibrionaceae. The record is from RNAcentral.